GCAAGGAGCCUGUUUCUCCUGCCUGUGUCUCUCAUGAAUAACGAAAUAAAUAUCUUAAAAAAAUAAAUUGAAAAAAUUAAGAAUUAAAAAAGUCAGUGGGAAAAGAGAGAAGAGAUUCCAAGCAAAUGGAGGAACAUGCUUGAUGGUCUGAGGGUGAUCAGAGGAACUUGGUGAUUGAAGAUGAACAAGAAUUGUGUGGUCAGUGUGCAUUCAUUUAUUCAUUCCAUAAGUGACUCUGGGUAUACAAAACUUAGCAAGCCAGUGUGGAAAAUAAAAAUCUUGAUGAAAUGUUUUUCAAACUUCCAUCUAAUGUAUUGAUACCUAGUUUUAAUGAUUGGACCCACUGCCAAAGACCUACGACUCCAUGGUGUCUCUAUUCUUCUGAACCCCACAAGAGAUCUUGGCUCUCAGGAAAAGAGACUCUAUGGUCUCUUGCAGACUUUCCAGAAAGGGUUAAUUGCACUGAAAUCGGUGCCUCAGGGCCAUAUCUAUUUUGCCAGCCACCUAUAUGACAGCUUUUGAUUCUGAGUUCUUCUUUCUCCUGAAGGAAUAAUGAAACAGCUCACUGGGAACCAUUCUCAUGCCUGGUAGAUAAAACUCAGAACCACUUACCAUUCUAUAUUGAGUGUUUAGAGAAAAAAUGGAUGCUUGAGGAGCAUGAAGCUUUGAAAAUUCUCAUAUGGAUUCCAAAUAGCCAAAACGUCCAUGUGCACAUGCAUUGGAGGUAUGUAUAGAUGAAGAAAUGCCAAGUUGAGUUUUAUCAGGAAAUAGCAUUGAGGCUAAGUGGAACACAUUCUU
Molecule: long non-coding RNA, 798 nt
Organism: Canis lupus familiaris (dog)
Lineage: Eukaryota; Metazoa; Chordata; Mammalia; Carnivora; Canidae
Exons: 3
Source: RefSeq, a predicted model, not a curated record